GUGGGGAAUAUUGCACAAUGGGGGAAACCCUGAUGCAGCGACGCCGCGUGAACGAAGAAGGUAUUCGUAUCGUAAAGUUCUGUCCUAUGGGAAGAUAAUGACAGUACCAUAGAAGAAAGCUCCGGCUAAAUACGUGCCAGCAGCCGCGGUAAUACGUAUGGAGCGAGCGUUGUCCGGAAUUAUUGGGCGUAAAGGGUACGCAGGCGGUUUAAUAAGUCGAAUGUUAAAGAUCGGGGCUCAACCCCGUAAAGCAUUGGAAACUGAUAAACUUGAGUAGUGGAGAGGAAAGUGGAAUUCCUAGUGUAGUGGUGAAAUACGUAGAUAUUAGGAGGAAUACCAGUAGCGAAGGCGACUUUCUGGACACAAACUGACGCUGAGGUACGAAAGCGUGGGGAGCAAACAGGAUUAGAAACCCUAGUAGUCC
This 424-nucleotide ribosomal RNA is filed under the name uncultured bacterium. RNAcentral describes it as "bacterial SSU rRNA". It matches the Rfam family "Bacterial small subunit ribosomal RNA", at positions 354 to 796 of the family's 1533-position model. RNAcentral also lists the same sequence under 1 other name. The record is from RNAcentral.